CGCCUUGCUAGUACUGAGGAAUCCCAUUUCAGCAUCACCUACCCAGUGUCAAAAGUAUCUCACUUUUGUUGGAGGCCACGGACACAAGUUUUCACAAACAUCAUUCUUUUUUUUAUUUUAACUGAAUCUGCCUUGAUCUGGAAUUGACAAACACUAUUCUCAUUGCCUGCAGCAAAAAAGAUUUUUAUUUCUUCUCUCUUUGGAUAUCUUUGGGAGUGACUUUGGAACAGAGGCUCCAUCUUCUACACACUUUUUGGGAACACCUAUUGCAUCCAUGGCCUGCUUUAAGUCUGCUGUUACUUUUCUACUGAGAUAAAAUCCACUGUUUGCAUCCAACCGUUUCUUUUUACUAUUGUUUGCAAACUGGAAACCAAAAUUAUGGUAUUCUUAAAACCAGAGAUGCCAACCUCUCUCAUUUGGCAUCCUGUUAACCAGUGGAAGAGAUCCAAGUUACUGGCAGCAAAUCCGUAGGAGUCCACAGCAACUUCAGUCCUUGCCUCUCCACAAGAAAGAAUCUGACUGAGGGGCAUAAAGCAGAAAAAGAGACCAAGGCAAGUUCCAGAGCAGGAAUAGAAGUUUAUCUGAAAAGGCCUUAGAACAUGAAAGCAAGGAACGUGUGCUUGGAAGAGACCCAAGUGGGCACGUGAAGGUUAAAGGGAAAAGGUCAAGUGCCUUGUUUAACCGUGAUCCUAGGAAUUUUAUAAGCUCGCCUCUUUCCCAUGUUUCUUCCUUUAGGGCAGACUUUCCACACGCCCAGGGCUUUCCUUAUCCUUUGGAACUGAACACACGCAAUGUAUUUAGGGAGUUAUAAACAUGCCCAUCUGAGGCUUCCUUCCCUUUUCCAGUGGAGCGUGCCCCCAGAAGAUCAUACCUCACCAUUUUUUUUUUUUUUUGGUCUCUUAAUACGCAUGCCCAGGAAGCUGCUCCUCCGUGGGGCCUGCAGUCAAUUAACAGUUUGAUGAUGUUAACAGGUGUGGACCAUCAGGAAAUGGCCUCUCCCUGGUGCUGCCAAAUUAUCAUUUUUAGACAGGCAAUGCAAUAAUUGCUGAACCAUCACCCGACAUUCUAGUUGGUAGAGGAGAGCCCUCUCUCCUGCCCAGCUCAUGCCUAAUUACCUGUAACAAUCCCACUGGGCCCAAUCUGUUUUUCACUGCAAAUGCCUUGCUACUAAGACUAUACAGGCAUCCUCCCUCUAAGCCCAGGGACUGUCGCAUGAGAGUGUAAGGGCGAGUUUUGAAGGAUAUAAUUAGGUCAAGGUCAGACCCUCCAAAUCAAGGAUGGGUACAAAGAUGCCUGAACAACUGGUAAAAGAAGAAAAUAAUUACUGACAGGAAUAAUGAUACCUUGUGACAAAGCCUCCUGGGUAUAAUACUCCCAGUUAUGAGUUGUACAGAUACAUAUUUUAAAUUUUUUCAGAACGGGUAUGUUUUGUAUAGCUAAUUGCCAUAAGUCUGUAACCAAAACCAAGAUUACAUACUAAAACUAAAAACAAGAUUGAGCUAUGGCUCAAUGCGUAGCAUAGAAGUUAAAAAUAAGUCAGUUUUGUAACCUCACCUUUGGCUUUUUGUUUGUUCAUCUUCUACUUAAAAAACAAAAUAAAUAAUAAUUAUAAGGGGUAAUGAAUGCCUGUCCAUGUCUAUUCCUAUCUGGCUUAGGAUAAUUAAUUGGCUAUAAGUCUUGUUUACUCUAAGUCCCUUGGCCAUACGGAGUCCCACUGAAGGACAGGAUGGACCAGGGGCAGGCCAGCCAUGCCAUCCCAACAAUACUAUGGGACAAAAUUAAAAUCUGGUGGCCACUGAUGUUGCCUCUGGCAAAUCUUGGACAAAAGGGGGAAAAUUCGAAGGCUCUCACAACCAUUUGAAUGCACUUCCUCAUUGGCCGGGGCACUCUAAAAUUUAACCAGAAAGACUGGUUCAGGCCAUGAAAGUGAAGUGGGGGUAAUCAUCAUACCCCUCCAGCCCUAAUAUUAAUGCAGACUGUAAGUCUGAUAAGAAACAUUUAUAAUCUAUUUUCUAUAAAGUCUGCUACCUGGAGGCUUUAUCUGCAGGAUAAAACCUUGCUGUCUACAACCCCUUAUCUUAACCCAGACAUUCCUUUCUUUAACAAUAAAUCUUUCAACCAAUUACCAAUCUGAAUAUUUUUAAAUCUACGUAUGACCUGGAAGCCCCCACUUCGAGUUGUCCCACCCUUCCAUAUCAAACCAAUGUAAAUCUCACACGUAUUGACUGAUAUAUUAGGUCUCCCUAAAUUGUAUAAAAGCAAGCUACACCCAGACUACCCUGGGCACAUGUCAUCAGGACCUCCUGAGAUUAUGUCAUGGGCAGGUCCUUAACCUUGGCAAAAUAAACUUUCCAAAUUGACUUAGACCCAGUCUCAUAUUUUGGGUUCAUAUCUGUAUGAGAAAAUGUUAUUAAUAUAAAUACUCCAAAAACUGUAUGGAAGGCCAGGUGUGGUGGCUCAUGUCUAUAACCCCAGCACUUCAGCAGCCAAGGCAGGAGGAUCGCUUGAGCCCAGGAGUUCAAGACCAUCCUGGGCAAUAAGGCAAGACCCUGUCUCCUUUUUAAAAGAACUAUAUGAAGUUUCUAGAAAUUUGUCAAUGCACUCACUGUCCAUAAUAUAUUCUGAUAUAAUGUUAUCAAUCAUAAUUCCAGUUAUUAUCUUAAAAUGUUGUUUGGCACAGAAAUGACCAAAUUUCCUUGUCAACUCCAUUAUUUUGAUAAUGAACUCUAAUAAAAUCUUUAACCAUGGCCAUUUUAGGUCUUUUGUCAUUCACAUAUAAUUACUCUUAUAUUCGAAUGCUUCCCUGAAGGCUCACAAUCAGCUACAAGCUGGAAUGCUUCAUAUUCAACAUAAGUGACUGCCUCAGAGACCCAUAGAAAGAAUUAUAAAGGUACUCUGGGGUAUAGAUUUCUCAUGACAUUGCUUACAUAACUUUGAAAUCAUACCACUGGACUGGGUAGGAAUUUCCAGAACCCUACCAGAGACGCUAAUAGGUGCAUCAAAACUGAUAACCCUCAUCUGUAAAAUAGGAAUGAAAAUUAAAAUUUAAAAAACAAAAAAAACUGGGCUGGGCCGGGCAUGGUGUCUCAGCACUU
Molecule: long non-coding RNA, 3095 nt
Filed under: Homo sapiens (human)
Lineage: Eukaryota; Metazoa; Chordata; Mammalia; Primates; Hominidae
Description: HSALNT0302819
Source: RNAcentral